This 464-nucleotide ribosomal RNA is filed under the name uncultured bacterium. Its description in RNAcentral is "partial 16S ribosomal RNA". It matches the Rfam family "Bacterial small subunit ribosomal RNA", at positions 338 to 795 of the family's 1533-position model. The record is from RNAcentral.
CCUACGGGAGACAGCAGUGGGGAAUAUUGCGCAAUGGGCGAAAGCCUGACGCAGCGACGCCGCGUGAGGGAUGAAGGUCUUCGGAUCGUAAACCUCUGUCAGCAGGGAAGAACGGUCACUGUGCUAAUCAGCAGUGAAUUGACGGUACCUGCAAAGGCAGCACCGGCUAACUCCGUGCCAGCAGCCGCGGUAAUACGGAGGGUGCGAGCGUUAAUCGGAAUUACUGGGCGUAAAGCGCUCGUAGGCGGUAUGUCAAGUCAAGGGUGAAAUCCCCGCGCUCAACGUGGGAACUGCCUUUGAAACUGGCAAACUGGGGUGGGUGAGAGGAGAGUGGAAUUCCAGGUGUAGGAGUGAAAUCCGUAGAUAUCUGGAGGAACAUCAGUGGCGAAGGCGACUAUCUGGCACAUAACUGACGCUGAGGAGCGAAAGCGUGGUAGCAAACAGGAUUAGAUACCCCUGUAGUC